RNAcentral lists this ribosomal RNA (468 nucleotides) under uncultured bacterium. Its description in RNAcentral is "partial 16S ribosomal RNA". It matches the Rfam family "Bacterial small subunit ribosomal RNA", at positions 28 to 507 of the family's 1533-position model. The record is from RNAcentral.
GACGAACGCUGGCGGCGUGCUUAACACAUGCAAGUCGAACGGAAAGGCCCUGCUUUUGUGGGGUGCUCGAGUGGCGAACGGGUGGGUAAAACGUGAGUAACCUGCCCUUGACUUUGGGAUAACUUCAGGAAACUGGGGCGAAUACCGGAUAGGAGCUCCUGCUGCAUGGUGGGGGUUGGAAAGUUUCGGCGGUUGGGGAUGGACUCGCGGCUUAUCAGCUUGUUGGUGGGGUAGUGGCUUACCAAGGGUUUGACGGGUAGCCGGCCUGAGAGGGUGACCGGCCACAUUGGGACUACGAGACGGCGCAGACUCCAACGGGAGGCAGCAGUGGGGAAUAUUGCACAGCAGCCGGAAGCCUGUGACAGCGACGCCGCGUGCGUGAUGACGGCCUUCGGGUUGUAAACCACUUUCGCCGGUGACGAAGCGUGAGUGACGGUAAUUGGUAAAGAAGCACCGGCUAACUACGUG